Molecule: long non-coding RNA, 2182 nt
Organism: Toxorhynchites rutilus septentrionalis
Lineage: Eukaryota; Metazoa; Arthropoda; Insecta; Diptera; Culicidae
Exons: 3
Source: RefSeq, a predicted model, not a curated record
AAAAAAAAAAACAAACUUCACUGACCAAACCAUCGCUCCGGUUUGUUUACUUCUUAAACACUGUUUAGUUGGCAAUAGCUUGAGUGACUUGUGUGAGUGUAUUGGGAGAAUGAGUGUACAUCGCUUGUAAGCGAGGGGUGCGUGAAUGUGUGAUUGGUUGAUUAUUUAGUUUUGUUUUGUGAUUUUGUUAGGAAAAAGGUCAUCUCAUCGUUGGAGCAUGCCAACGAUUGAGAAUGGCGAACUUUAAGAUUUUUCUUCGGUGGAAGCACGCAAUCUUUGGAGUUUCCAAAGUAGCUUCCAUAUCCGAAGAAAUUUCGGGCUAAUUUAAGAUGGAUAUUGUUUUCAUUCCUUUUUACUCGGGUAAAGUUCUGAGGUCGGAAUGAACAAUAUUCAUCGAGUUAUUUUUUCGACGUAGGUCGAUAGUACGUUUUUUUUACAUCUCCAGAAAUACUUCUAUUAAUGAGAAGUGGAGGAUGUAAGGAUUUUAGUUAUAGUUUUGGGUAAUUUUGAGUAUAUUUUUUCUUCAUUUUGUGUGAAUAGGAUUGUCAACUAAUAGUAGUUCUUGAAGGUCAGAUCGAUUGAUGUAUUUUCGAGUUUUUCUUGUUUCUCAGUUCAGUAGUUAGUUAGUUGCUGUAAUGCCAGUAAUUUUUGAUGGGCGUUUAGAGUUAACCUUUUACAGUGGUUCGCAUGACAUUUCGCUGGAGACCGGAGCUGUAAAGCGUUGAUGGUCAGUUACAGACAGAUUACCCGAUCUGAUACUGGAGAUAGAGGAUGAGUCAAUUCAGUUUGACGAUGACCACAUAUGACCCCGAAAAUGUUAGUGAACAUUCUGCGAAGGGAGACUCUAUUUUCGCCUUCGAAAAUUUGAUUGGUUUAUGCCAAUCAAAUUUUCGAAAAUUCAGCAGGGAAUGAUGUAGCGUGGUACUGGUUUCGACAUUUGGAAGCCCCUCGUUUAGUUAUUUUGAAGUUCAGAUUCUACACCAGCUCACUUGUGUGAAUCGGAGCCUCUCUCUUCUUUCAAUGUAUUGGAUGUAAGGCAACGCGAGUGCCGCUCCUCUUUUUAGAUUUGAGCAACUUGGCAUAAUGGGUGCUGGAUGUGAUUCGACGGCUGUGUUUUAGCCAAGACACCCAAAUACCAAUACACCCGAAAGACUCAUGCUUUCCUUUUUUCAUUUUUUUCGUUUGGAUAUUUCCCCCAAAUAGCAGAGUCUUUCGGCGGAGGUUUUCUUGUUCUUGGAACCUCAAAAACCCGGCAAGCGAUUCGAUUUGAACUGCGCUCGGGAGGUUAAAGGUGAUCGCCCGAGAAUAUUUGAAUAUGAGACCGAUGUAGGGACAAGGGAACUUGGCAUGACUUGCGUGAUUAUUAACUUCGUUAAUAAUUACGCAGUUCCGGUCCUAUUGAUUAGUACGCUGAUCUGAGGACUAAAAAUUAUGUUCUUCCAUUUCAACGUGGACCGUGGAAGAGGUCGGAGUGGUGUUAUUUUCUUGAACCGCGAAUUUCACAAAAGCUGGAUAGUCGAUAGAUUUAGGCAAAGUUGAAGUUGUACCCUCCCGUGCAUCCGUUAAAUACAUCCGGAGGAAGCGCCGCUACUGACCCCACGGAGUCAACGUUGGAAUUGACCAAAAAUCCAGCCAAGGCUCAAACCUUUCCGCCUGGUUCGAAGACUGCGCUGCGCGAACAAUACUGGCAGCCGCAACAGGCGUAAACCGGAAGUCAGGACCGCUCAUCGCACGCCCAGCUAGGAGUAGAACCCGUCGACGUAGCGAAUCACAUAAAUCCAUGGUAGUGAGUACCUUUUUUCCUUAUCCAUUAUUAACAUGCGCAUGUAGGAUAAGUGAUAUUGAGCAAAACGCUAUAAAUAGCUACUAACCACGAAAGCCACACAAUUCAAAGCCAUACACACACAAAUAAUGCAUGCAGUGGAGAGCUCACUCCAUAUGACUGUGUAAUUUCAAUCGCUAUAAGCGAAGCCAUUCAUGAAUAGCCUAACGGAGUAAAUAGCAAGCGCGCCGUCUUCUCAACCUAGAUGUGAUGAGAUCGAGACUUGGGAGGAAAAUUAGAGUAGAGUAAUGAAAUUUGAUUAAUGUUCUUAGAGUAAAUAAAUUUUCUAUGUUGAUGGAUGUUCUUUCCUGAUUGACUAAAUGUUCAAUGUAGAAGAGAAGUGUUGAUGAAGCUAAUUGA